This is a non-coding RNA of Trichonephila clavata, 67 nucleotides long. The record is from the annotation of a GenBank genome assembly. Lineage: Eukaryota; Metazoa; Arthropoda; Arachnida; Araneae; Nephilidae.
CGUUGCGUCCCUGUAACGCGUUGGACUUCUAAUCCAAAGGUCAUGGGUUCGAAUCCCAUCUUGAAGG